GGGCCCGUCGUCUAGCCUGGUUAGGACGCUGCCCUUACGAGGCAGAGGUCCUGGGUUCAAAUCCCAGCGGGCCCACUA
RNAcentral lists this transfer RNA (78 nucleotides) under Saccharolobus islandicus Y.N.15.51. Its description in RNAcentral is "Sulfolobus islandicus Y.N.15.51 tRNA-Val". It matches the Rfam family "tRNA". From Rfam's summary of the family: Transfer RNA (tRNA) molecules are approximately 80 nucleotides in length. Their secondary structure includes four short double-helical elements and three loops (D, anti-codon, and T loops). Lineage: Archaea; Thermoproteati; Thermoproteota; Thermoprotei; Sulfolobales; Sulfolobaceae. RNAcentral also lists the same sequence under 6 other names. The record is from RNAcentral.